GUCCACGCCGUAACGAUGAGUGCUAGGUGCUGCGGUAUUGACCCUGCGGUGCCGUAGCUAACGCGUUAAGCACUCCGCCUGGGGAGUACGGCCGCAAGGCUAAACUCAAAGGAAUUGACGGGGCCCGCACAAGCGGUGGAGCAUGUGGUUCAAUUCGACGCAACGCGCAGAACCUUACCUGGGUUAAAUCCACUCGAACCUUGCAGAGAUGCGGGGUGCUCUUCGGAGAGCGAGUGAGAAGGUGCUGCAUGGCUGUCGU
RNAcentral lists this ribosomal RNA (259 nucleotides) under uncultured bacterium. RNAcentral describes it as "partial 16S ribosomal RNA". It matches the Rfam family "Bacterial small subunit ribosomal RNA", at positions 793 to 1055 of the family's 1533-position model. The record is from RNAcentral.